CUCAUUAAAAGAGUGCGUAAUAGCUCACUGGUCGAGUGACUCUGCGCCGAAAAUUCAACGGGGCUAAAAUUCAUACCGAAGCUUGGGCUUGACAGUAAUGUCAGGGGUAGGGGAGCGUCGUAUACGAGGUGAAGUCAUAGCGGAAGCGGUGGUGGAUUGUAUACGAGUGAGAAUGCCGGAAUGAGUAGCGAGAAUUAUGUGAGAAUCAUAAUGGCCGAAAGUCUAAGGUUUCCUGAGGAAGGUUCGUCCUCUCAGGGUUAGCCGGGAGCUAAGGUGAGGCGGAAACGCGUAGCCGAUGCACAUACGGUAGAAAUUCCGUAGCCUCCGAAGAUUUAAGCACAGGGACACUUUUGAAGGGCUGAGCCGGGCGUUGGUUGCCCCGGUCGAAAGGGACACGAGUGAGUGGAAGUCAGUUUGGAAAGAGGCGAGAAAAGCUGUGUGUAUAUGGAAGGAGCCCGUACCGCAAACCGACACAGGUAGACAGGAAGAAGAUUCUAAGGCCAGCGGGAGAAGGGUUGUUAAGGAACUCGGCAAGUUGACCCCGUAACUUCGGGAGAAGGGGUGCUUACGAAGGUAAGCCGCAGAGAAUAGGCCCAAGCGACUGUUUAGCAAAAACACAGCUCUAUGCUAAAUCGAAAGAUGACGUAUAUGGGGUGACACCUGCCCGGUGCUGGAAGGUUAAGAGGAGAUGUGAGAGCAUUGAAUUGAAGCCCCAGUAAACGGCGGCCGUAACUAUAACGGUCCUAAGGUAGCGAAAUUCCUUGUCAGGUAAGUUCUGACCCGCACGAAUGGUGUAACGAUUUGGGCACUGUCUCAACAACCCACCCGGCGAAAUUGUAGUACCGGUGAAGAUGCCGGUUACCCGCGACUAGACGGAAAGACCCCAUGGAGCUUCACUGCAGCUUAAUAUUGGAUUUCGGUAUUUCAUGUACAGGAUAGGUGGGAGACUGGGAAAUACAGGCGUCAGCUUGUAUGGAGUCAUUGUUGGGAUACCACUCUUGAGGUGCUGGAAUUCUAACCUGUGGCCUUGAAUCAGGUCAGGGGACAUUGUUAGGCGGGCAGUUUGACUGGGGCGGUCGCCUCCUAAAAGGUAACGGAGGCGCUCAAAGGUUCGCUCAGCAUGGACGGAAACCAUGCCAGAGAGUGCAAACGCAUAAGCGAGCCUAACUGCGAGACUGACGGGUCGAGCAGUAACGAAAGUUGGAGUUAGUGAUCCGGCGGUAUGUGAGUGGAAAUGCCGUCGCUCAACGGAUAAAAGCUACCCUGGGGAUAACAGGCUGAUCUCCCCCAAGAGUCCACAUCGACGGGGAGGUUUGGCACCUCGAUGUCGGCUCAUCGCAUCCUGGGGCUGUAUUCGGUCCCAAGGGUUUGGCUGUUCGCCAAUUAAAGCGGUACGCGAGCUGGGUUCAGAACGUCGUGAGACAGUUCGGUCCCUAUCUGUCGUGGGCGUUGGAGAUUUGAAAGGAGCUGUCCCUAGUACGAGAGGACCGGGAUGGACGCACCUCUGGUGCACCAGUUGUCACGCCAGUGGCACAGCUGGGCAGCUAUGUGCGGAACGGAUAAACGCUGAAAGCAUCUAAGCGUGAAGCCGCCCUUAAGAUAAGAUCUCCUUUAAGACCCCUUGUAGACUACGAGGUUGAUAGGUCUGAUGUGUAAGCAUGGUGACAUGUUUAGCUUGCAGAUACUAAUCGGUCGUUCGCUUUUCCUU
RNAcentral lists this ribosomal RNA (1708 nucleotides) under human gut metagenome. Its description in RNAcentral is "bacterial LSU rRNA". It matches the Rfam family "Bacterial large subunit ribosomal RNA", at positions 1118 to 2925 of the family's 2925-position model. The record is from RNAcentral.